GCGGCGUACGGCUCAGUAACAUGUGGUCAAUCUACCCUCAGGACGGAGAUAACCUCGGGAAACUGAGGCUAAUAUCCGAUAGAUAAUGGAUCCUGGAAUGGUUCAUUAUUCAAACGGCACAUUGCUCAUGCGCAGUGUGUCGCCUGAGGAUGAGACUGCACCCUAUCAGGUAGUUGGUGGGGUAAUGGCCCACCAAGCCUAUAACGGGUACGGGCCCUGAGAGGGGGAGCCCGGAGAUGGGCACUGAGACAAGGGCCCAGGCCCUACGGGGCGCAGCAGGCGCGAAACCUCUGCAAUGCGCGAAAGCGCGACAGGGCCACCCCGAGUGCUAGCCGCUGAGGUUAGCUUUUCCUUAGUGUAGUAAGCUAAGGGAAUAAGCGGGGGGCAAGCCUGGUGUCAGCCGCCGCGGUAAUACCAGCUCCGCGAGUGGUCGGGACGAUUAUUGGGCCUAAAGCGUCCGUAGCCGGCCUAUCAAGUCUCUGGUUAAACCUCAAGGCUCAACCUUGAGAUCGCUGGAGAUACUGUUAGGCUAGGGGGCGGGAGAGGUUGAGGGUACUUCGCGGGUAGGGGCGAAAUCCUAUAAUCCGCGAAGGACCACCA
This 600-nucleotide ribosomal RNA is filed under the name uncultured archaeon. RNAcentral describes it as "bacterial SSU rRNA". It matches the Rfam family "Archaeal small subunit ribosomal RNA", at positions 78 to 662 of the family's 1478-position model. The record is from RNAcentral.